UGGCGAAGGCGGCCUUCUGGACUGACACUGACACUGAGGUGCGAAAGCGUGGGUAGCAAACAGGAUUAGAUACCCUGGUAGUCCACGCCGUAAACGAUGUCGACCAGCCGUUGGGUGCCUAGCGCACUUUGUGGCGAAGUUAACGCGAUAAGUCGACCGCCUGGGGAGUACGGCCGCAAGGUUAAAACUCAAAUGAAUUGACGGGGGCCCGCACAAGCGGUGGAGCAUGUGGUUUAAUUCGAUGCAACGCGAAGAACCUUACCUACUCUUGACAUCCUGCGAACUUGUGAGAGAUCACUUGGUGCCUUCGGGAGCGCAGAGACAGGUGCUGCAUGGCUGUCGUCAGCUCGUGUUGUGAAAUGUUGGGUUAAGUCCCGUAACGAGCGCAACCCUUGUCCUUAUUUGCCAGCGGGUAAUGCCGGGAACUCUAAGGAGACUGCCGGUGACAAACCGGAGGAAGGUGGGGACGACGUCAAGUCAUCAUGGCCCUUACGAGUAGGGCUACACACGUGCUACAAUGGCCGGUACAAAGGGUUGCGAGCUCGCGAGAGUCAGCUAAUCCCGAAAAGCCGGUCUCAGUCCGGAUCGGAGUCUGCAACUCGACUCCGUGAAGUCGGAAUCGCUAGUAAUCGUGAAUCAGAAUGUCACGGUGAAUACGUUCCCGGGCCUUGUACACACCGCCCGU
RNAcentral lists this ribosomal RNA (685 nucleotides) under uncultured bacterium. RNAcentral's name for it is "bacterial SSU rRNA". It matches the Rfam family "Bacterial small subunit ribosomal RNA", at positions 713 to 1397 of the family's 1533-position model. The record is from RNAcentral.